CUUCCCCCAGAGCAGAUCAUCCACCUCAACAACAAUAACAGCAGUGAUAUUUACAGCCAUGUCCCCCGGGGAGGCCAAGUUACUUGUCAUGAAGCGCACGCUGUGCCUCAACACACACUGCUAUUAAACUGGACUUCAACAGGAAGCACAAGAGUUCACAGGAGGUUCAUUUCUGCCCAGCAGAGAAGUGCCAAAGCCAUCCCUGCCACAUUCUGAGAGCUCAUGAACUUCAGGCCCCAAGAGGAGGAAAUGUUCUGUCCUCGCCUUGGUGUCCGCGUGCAUGCGCACAGCGUGGAGCGCUGCGACAUAUUUAACAGACACUGGCUUUUGACAAAUGAGCCGACCGCCUUCUAUCACUCAAGAAUACUGCUGGUUUCAAUGGAGGGGCUUGCACUCUUGCCCUUAAGUACACCGUUUACUCAGCAACACAUGAUCAUAUAUAUACGUGUGUGUGCGUGUGUGUGUGCUUUCUUGUGGAUACAGAUUCCAUAAAUAAAAAAGGUACUACAACACCCAGUCUGAGCAGGAUAUGCAAUUAGCCCUGGUUUUGCAAAGCUUGCAAACUGUGGUCUUUAAAGUUCUUCAAAAUGCUUGAAAUUGACCUUGACUGAACAAAAGGUGUGAUCAUUUCCUUUCAACUUAACACUAACUUUUCUGGCUUUUCACGCCAAGUUUAAACACUUGUUAUACAAGGAAAAUUGAACUCAAUUUUUACUAUUC
This is a long non-coding RNA of Syngnathus typhle (broad-nosed pipefish), 720 nucleotides long. RefSeq lists it as uncharacterized. Lineage: Eukaryota; Metazoa; Chordata; Actinopteri; Syngnathiformes; Syngnathidae. The record is from RefSeq and is a predicted model, not a curated record. The transcript is spliced from 4 exons.